CUUGCUCCCUGAGAUCAGCGGCGGACGGGUGAGUAACACGUGGGUAACCUGCCUGUAAGACUGGGAUAACUCCGGGAAACCGGGGCUAAUACCGGAUAACUCAGUUCCUCGCAUGAGGAACGGUUGAAAGGUGGCUUUUUGCUACCACUUACAGAUGGACCCGCGGCGCAUUAGCUAGUUGGUGAGGUAACGGCUCACCAAGGCGACGAUGCGUAGCCGACCUGAGAGGGUGAUCGGCCACACUGGGACUGAGACACGGCCCAGACUCCUACGGGAGGCAGCAGUAGGGAAUCUUCCGCAAUGGACGAAAGUCUGACGGAGCAACGCCGCGUGAGUGAAGAAGGUUUUCGGAUCGUAAAACUCUGUUGUUAGGGAAGAACAAGUGCCGUUCGAAUAGGGCGGCACCUUGACGGUACCUAACCAGAAAGCCACGGCUAAC
This 439-nucleotide ribosomal RNA is filed under the name uncultured bacterium. RNAcentral's name for it is "bacterial SSU rRNA". It matches the Rfam family "Bacterial small subunit ribosomal RNA", at positions 79 to 501 of the family's 1533-position model. The record is from RNAcentral.